This 74-nucleotide transfer RNA is filed under the name Clostridiales bacterium. RNAcentral's name for it is "tRNA-Arg". It matches the Rfam family "tRNA". From Rfam's summary of the family: Transfer RNA (tRNA) molecules are approximately 80 nucleotides in length. Their secondary structure includes four short double-helical elements and three loops (D, anti-codon, and T loops). Lineage: Bacteria; Bacillati; Bacillota; Clostridia; Eubacteriales. The record is from RNAcentral.
GCGCCCGUAGCUCAGUUGGAUAGAGUGUUGGACUCCGACUCCAAAGGUCGCUGGUUCGAAUCCAGUCGGGCGUA